RNAcentral lists this ribosomal RNA (429 nucleotides) under Acidobacteriota bacterium. RNAcentral describes it as "Acidobacteria bacterium partial 16S ribosomal RNA". It matches the Rfam family "Bacterial small subunit ribosomal RNA", at positions 355 to 776 of the family's 1533-position model. The record is from RNAcentral. Lineage: Bacteria; Pseudomonadati; Acidobacteriota.
UGGGGAAUUUUGGACAAUGGGGGAAACCCUGAUCCAGCCAUCCCGCGUGUGCGAUGAAGGCCUUCGGGUUGUAAAGCACUUUUGGCAGGAAAGAAACGUCAUGGGUUAAUACCCCGUGAAACUGACGGUACCUGCAGAAUAAGCACCGGCUAACUACGUGCCAGCAGCCGCGGUAAUACGUAGGGUGCAAGCGUUAAUCGGAAUUACUGGGCGUAAAGCGUGCGCAGGCGGUUCGGAAAGAAAGAUGUGAAAUCCCAGAGCUCAACUUUGGAACUGCAUUUUUAACUACCGGGCUAGAGUGUGUCAGAGUGAGGUGGAAUUCCGCGUGUAGCAGUGAAAUGCGUAGAUAUGCGGAGGAACACCGAUGGCGAAGGCAGCCUCCUGGGAUAACACUGACGCUCAUGCACGAAAGCGUGGGGAGCAAACAGG